UGGACCUUUAGCUCAACUGGUUAGAGCACUCGGCUCAUAACCGAGAGGUCGUAGGUUCGAGUCCUACAAGGUCCAU
This 76-nucleotide transfer RNA is filed under the name Streptococcus pseudoporcinus. RNAcentral's name for it is "tRNA-Met(cat)". It matches the Rfam family "tRNA". Rfam says of the family: Transfer RNA (tRNA) molecules are approximately 80 nucleotides in length. Lineage: Bacteria; Bacillati; Bacillota; Bacilli; Lactobacillales; Streptococcaceae. The record is from RNAcentral.